Molecule: ribosomal RNA, 550 nt
Filed under: uncultured stramenopile
Lineage: Eukaryota
Description: bacterial SSU rRNA
Rfam family: Eukaryotic small subunit ribosomal RNA
Source: RNAcentral
GUAUAUUAAAGUUGUUGCAGUUAAAAAGCUCGUAGUUGGAUUUGUCGUGAGAGUUUUGAUGAUGGACAAAGUCGAUCGUCUAAAUUCCACAUUCUUUGUGUUGGCUUUGGGAUGGCAUUCAGUUGCUGCCUCAAAUACACGCAUCUUUUACUGUGAAAAAAUUAGAGUGUUUAAAGCAGACGUUAUUGUCGUUGAAUACAUUANGCAUGGAAUAAUAAUAUAUGACUCGAUUGGUCUAUUUUGUUGGUUUGCACAUUUGAGUAAUGAUUAAUAGGGACAGUUGGGGAUAUUCAUAUUUGAGCGUCAGAGGUGAAAUUCUUGGAUCGCUGAAAGAUGAGCUAAGGCGAAAGCAUUUAUCAAGGAUGUUUUCAUUAAUCAAGAACGAAAGUUAGGGGAUCGAAGAUGAUUAGAUACCAUCGUAGUCUUAACCAUAAACUAUGCCGACUCGGGAUUGGCCGUCGUUGUUUUUUGACAUGGUCAGCACCGUAUGAGAAAUCAAAGUCUUUGGGUUCCGGGGGGAGUAUGGUCGCAAGGCUUAAACUUAAAGGAA